GGGCCCGCACAAGCGGUGGAGCAUGUGGUUUAAUUCGAUGAUACGCGAGGAACCUUACCAGGGCUUAAAUGUAGUCUGACAGGGGUGGAAACACCCCCUCCUUCGGGCAGAUUACAAGGUGCUGCAUGGUUGUCGUCAGCUCGUGCCGUGAGGUGUCAGGUUAAGUCCUAUAACGAGCGCAACCCCCUGCCGUUAGUUGCCAGCAUGUAAUGAUGGGAACUCUAACGGGACUGCCGGUGCAAACCGCGAGGAAGGUGGGAUGACGUCAAAUCAUCACGGCCCUUACGUCCUGGGCUACACACGUGCUACAAUGGCCGGUACAGAGGGCAGCCACACGCAAGGUGGAGCGAAUCCUUAAACUAUAUCUC
This 368-nucleotide ribosomal RNA is filed under the name uncultured bacterium. Its description in RNAcentral is "bacterial SSU rRNA". It matches the Rfam family "Bacterial small subunit ribosomal RNA", at positions 917 to 1289 of the family's 1533-position model. The record is from RNAcentral.